GAUGAACGCUGGCGGCGUGCCUAAUACAUGCAAGUCGAGCGAACAGACGAGGAGCUUGCUCCUCUGACGUUAGCGGCGGACGGGUGAGUAACACGUGGAUAACCUAUCUAUAAGACUGGGAUAACUUAGGGAAACCGGAGCUAAUACCGGAUAAUAUAUUGAACCGCAUGGUUCAAUAGUGAAAGACGGUUUUGCUGUCACUUAUAGAUGGAUCCGCGCCGCAUUAGCUAGUUGGUAAGGUAACGGCUUACCAAGGCGACGAUGCGUAGCCGACCUGAGAGGGUGAUCGGCCACACUGGAACUGAGACACGGUCCAGACUCCUACGGGAGGCAGCAGUAGGGAAUCUUCCGCAAUGGGCGAAAGCCUGACGGAGCAACGCCGCGUGAGUGAUGAAGGUCUUCGGAUCGUAAAACUCUGUUAUUAGGGAAGAACAAAUGUGUAAGUAACUAUGCACGUCUUGACGGUACCUAAUCAGAAAGCCACGGCUAACUACGUG
Molecule: ribosomal RNA, 497 nt
Filed under: uncultured bacterium
Lineage: Bacteria
Description: partial 16S ribosomal RNA
Rfam family: Bacterial small subunit ribosomal RNA
Source: RNAcentral